Molecule: ribosomal RNA, 253 nt
Filed under: uncultured bacterium
Lineage: Bacteria
Description: partial 16S ribosomal RNA
Rfam family: Bacterial small subunit ribosomal RNA
Source: RNAcentral
UACGUAGGGUGCAAGCGUUAAUCGGAAUUACUGGGCGUAAAGCGUGCGCAGGCGGUUUGUUAAGUCAGAUGUGAAAUCCCCGAGCUUAACUUGGGAACUGCAUUUGAAACUGGCAAGCUAGAGUCUUGUAGAGGGGGGUAGAAUUCCAGGUGUAGCGGUGAAAUGCGUAGAGAUCUGGAGGAAUACCGGUGGCGAAGGCGGCCCCCUGGACAAAGACUGACGCUCAGGUGCGAAAGCGUGGGGAGCAAACAGG